UCACAAGCAUAAGGUUCAGUGGUAAAGAAUUCACUAUUUAGAGCACUAGUGGCAGUGCCACGAUUAUCAGGGUCAACUGAAAGAAGAGUUUCGAUUAAGGUCAGAGAACAAGGAGGGAAAUCCUUGAAGGUUUCAGCUAUACAGCUUUUGUAUGGCUGCUGAGGUUUAAAAAGCGUUGCAUUAGGCAGUUUUGAUUUCUUCCAGUAUUCCUCUGACGGGGAGCCACAUAACUUAAAUAUCUUGUGCAGUUGUUCAACCUCUGUUCGUCCUGGCAUUAUUGGCUUCCCAGCAAGUAGCUCUGCCAAAAUACAGCCAGCACUCCAAAGGUCGACACCAACACCAUAAUAAGUAGCCCCAAGAAGAAGCUCAGGAGGACGGUACCAGAGGGUGACAACUCGACUGGUCAUAGGAACCCUUCGCUGAGGGUCAAAGAAAGUAGCCAGCCCAAAAUCAGCAAUUUUUAGAACUCCUUCAUUGUCAAUAAGCAGAUUGGAACCCUUGAUAUCACGGUGCAAGACACCUCGACUGUGGCAAUGCUCAAGGCCACAUAGAAGUUGUUUCAUGUAGCAUUUGACCUGAGCCUCAGUAAACUUGACUUCAUGGCGAGCUGCUAGCCCAGCGAGAUCAUGGUCCAUGUAUUCAAACACCAAAUAAAGGCUACAUGACAUUCUUGAGGUAACCAAACCCUCAAGCUUAAGCACAUUGGGGUGAUCUAAU
RNAcentral lists this unclassified non-coding RNA (717 nucleotides) under Hevea brasiliensis (rubber tree). The record is from RNAcentral. Lineage: Eukaryota; Viridiplantae; Streptophyta; Magnoliopsida; Malpighiales; Euphorbiaceae.